AUGGCUUCCAUGGGGUUCAGCUACGCACAGGUACACGUGAAGCAAGAGAGACUGACGAGGAGGAUCAGCGACAGCAAGAAGGCUUCGGCAACGGCGACGGUAGACAAGUCGAUGACCCGAGAAGAAGAGAAGAUGAAGGAGCGUUUCAUGGGUGAAGAGGAGAAGGCAACUUGCAACUCAUGGACCGCCGGGAGGGUGCAUCCGCGCGCUUCUUCCCCAGCGGCUGCGGCGCCAAAGGGUGGGCACCGAUGA
Molecule: ribosomal RNA, 252 nt
Filed under: Triticum aestivum (bread wheat)
Lineage: Eukaryota; Viridiplantae; Streptophyta; Magnoliopsida; Poales; Poaceae
Description: partial small subunit ribosomal RNA
Source: RNAcentral